This 22-nucleotide microRNA is filed under the name Asparagus officinalis (garden asparagus). RNAcentral describes it as "aof-miR12140". The record is from miRBase by way of RNAcentral. Lineage: Eukaryota; Viridiplantae; Streptophyta; Magnoliopsida; Asparagales; Asparagaceae.
UUGGCAGCGGCUGUAGAGCUGC